CCAACAGUAAUACAAUGUAUGCCUCUUUAAACAACUAAUAUUCUCAAACAAUGGCAAUUUAUAGUAUGGCAGUUAACUUACCUUGACUUGUUUCAUCUUUAGCCCAGGACAACCAGCAGGGAGACAAUAUUUAUACAGAUCUGUCAAAAAUGCAAGGAAGGCCAUUUUCUCCAUGGGAACACUCAGGCCAUCAUAUGUCACAGACCCCUGCCAUACAACAAGAGUCUUCUGAGUGGUCAAUAUCUAACCAGACCCCAUGUAAGUUUGAUUACUUUACUGAGCAGCCCUGAACAAUGAUUAUAAUCAAAUAUGUGAAAUCAAGUUUGUUUCUGCAUUUGAUUCUGAAAUUUCCUUGCAGAUAGCUUUCAGGAUACAAGACAAAGCCAACAGGUUCUACCUCAUGGUAAGUCCAAUGUGAGAUAUACAUUCACGGUGAGUUCAAU
This is a long non-coding RNA of Pygocentrus nattereri (red-bellied piranha), 443 nucleotides long. NCBI's taxonomy places the organism in Eukaryota, Metazoa, Chordata, Actinopteri, Characiformes, Serrasalmidae. The record is from Ensembl.